RNAcentral lists this transfer RNA (73 nucleotides) under Candidatus Brachybacter algidus. RNAcentral describes it as "tRNA-Met". It matches the Rfam family "tRNA". Rfam says of the family: Transfer RNA (tRNA) molecules are approximately 80 nucleotides in length. The record is from RNAcentral. Lineage: Bacteria; Pseudomonadati; Bacteroidota; Saprospiria; Saprospirales; Saprospiraceae.
GGCGAGGUAGCUCAGCUGGUUAGAGCGUGCGAUUCAUAAUCGCAAGGUCGGGGAUCGUGCCCCCCUCUCGCUA